Molecule: ribosomal RNA, 696 nt
Filed under: uncultured bacterium
Lineage: Bacteria
Description: bacterial SSU rRNA
Rfam family: Bacterial small subunit ribosomal RNA
Source: RNAcentral
AGAAAGCAGAUCGCAUGAUCAGCUUUUAAAAGGCGGCGUAAGCUGUCGCUAUGGGAUGGCCCCGCGGUGCAUUAGCUAGUUGGUAAGGUAAAGGCUUACCAAGGCGAUGAUGCAUAGCCGAGUUGAGAGACUGAUCGGCCACAUUGGGACUGAGACACGGCCCAAACUCCUACGGGAGGCAGCAGUAGGGAAUCUUCCACAAUGGACGCAAGUCUGAUGGAGCAACGCCGCGUGAGUGAAGAAGGUUUUCGGAUCGUAAAGCUCUGUUGUUGGUGAAGAAGGAUAGAGGUAGUAACUGGCCUUUAUUUGACGGUAAUCAACCAGAAAGUCACGGCUAACUACGUGCCAGCAGCCGCGGUAAUACGUAGGUGGCAAGCGUUGUCCGGAUUUAUUGGGCGUAAAGCGAGCGCAGGCGGAAAAAUAAGUCUGAUGUGAAAGCCCUCGGCUUAACCGAGGAACUGCAUCGGAAACUGUUUUUCUUGAGUGCAGAAGAGGAGAGUGGAACUCCAUGUGUAGCGGUGGAAUGCGUAGAUAUAUGGAAGAACACCAGUGGCGAAGGCGGCUCUCUGGUCUGCAACUGACGCUGAGGCUCGAAAGCAUGGGUAGCGAACAGGAUUAGAUACCCUGGUAGUCCAUGCCGUAAACGAUGAGUGCUAAGUGUUGGGAGGUUUCCGCCUCUCAGUGCUGCAGCUAACG